CCUUGUCAUUAGUUGCUACGAAAGGGCACUCUAAUGAGACUGCCGGUGACAAACCGGAGGAAGGUGGGGAUGACGUCAAGUCCUCAUGGCCCUUAUGGGUAGGGCUUCACACGUCAUACAAUGGUACAUACAGAGCGCCGCCAACCCGCGAGGGGGAGCUAAUCGCAGAAAGUGUAUCGUAGUCCGGAUUGUAGUCUGCAACUCGACUGCAUGAAGUUGGAAUCGCUAGUAAUCGCGGAUCAGCAUGUCGCGGUGAAUACGUUCCCGGGUCUUGCACACACCGCCCGU
This 288-nucleotide ribosomal RNA is filed under the name uncultured beta proteobacterium. RNAcentral's name for it is "partial 16S ribosomal RNA". It matches the Rfam family "Bacterial small subunit ribosomal RNA", at positions 1103 to 1397 of the family's 1533-position model. The record is from RNAcentral. Lineage: Bacteria; Pseudomonadati; Pseudomonadota; Betaproteobacteria.